UACAUCACACUAGAGUUCUCACCAACUAACAAUAUCCCAAACACUACUCAAAAGCAACAAGAUAUAUUAAUUAUCAUUACAGUCCAAAAACAAAAGUUCAUAGUUAAACAACUUAAUCAAAUUAGAGUCUCAUUACAAAUCCAUAGUUUGCAGUUUACUAAAACAAGUCCCAAUACCACAAACACAAUAAAUACAAUACGCUUCACUAGACCGCUCCAGGAGCAUCCUGAAGUCCUCCCUACCCCACAUGUGGAUCCUUAGGAGUGAUAUUUGCAUCUAAAAAGAUGUAAAAAGGAAGGGGUGAGCAUUCCACAUUGCUCAGUAAGGUGCCUAACACCCAAGGGAUAAUGGGGAUUACUAAGUUUCAAAGAACACAAAGAAGCAUUUCAACAACAUUGAUCAAGCCACAUACAUUAAUCUCUAUAAUUAUACACAAUUCCACAAUAUUCAAUAAUUAAAUGAAAUGCAUAUGAACGUGUGACACUCAAUCAUACAAUGCACUGUCAUUCUCGGGCUUUCACCGAAUGAUAUGCGUCCGCACCCAAAUACACUCCCCAUUUGGAGUCUUCCCGUGGUAAACUUUUGGAUCUUUCACUCUAAGAAUCUCUUUCCCUUCUUAAUUCGCCUCACAUAGGCUUUUACUUUUCAUCACUAUUUCAUUUUUUCUUUUUUCUUUUUUCCAUUUCAUACACUUUUCACAAUUUUUAUCCUUUCUUCACACAACCAUGAUGCAAAUGAAUGUCAUGAGGUUAAUUACUCUCAUUCAUAUAUCACCAAUAUCAUUGGAAUUACAAUCACGCCACAAAUCCCAAAAUCUUCCAACAAUUUCAACAUUCUCAAUAAUCCAAUAAAAUAAAUUUUCCACAAUAAAAUUAUUGAAAGUAAUCCAACAAAUUCUAAAAAAUUCGCAUAUCAAUAAAUUUGAAAUUAUACCACAAUUUCGGAAUUUCCCAAAAUUCUAAUAAUUUCCAAUAUUCGAAAAUAAUAAAUUUUCCACAAUAAAAUUUUCGAAAAUAUUCCAACAAAUUCUCAAAAAUUUACAUAUUAAUAAAUUUGAAAUUAUACCACAAUUUCGGAAUUUUCCAACAAUUCCAAUAAUUUUUAACAACCCAAAACAAUUAUGUAUUAACCAAAAAGAAAUUCCCGAAAUUACAAAAAUUCCUAUAGCACUAAUAUUACCUACUUAACUCAUAAUAACAAGAUUUAUAAUUUUUUUCUAAGGAAAAACGCAUUUAAUUAAAAUUUUAGGGUUAGGUUCCCCUACCAAAAAUCUAAGAAUCCGACCGUUAAAAUCAUGACAGGCCACCGUAGAAUCAUUCCUCUCGUCGAGUAGAACACCUCCUCAAAUUUUCAGGCAAAACGAAUGUCGUUCAGCCGUCCAAAUGGCUGACCAAAGUUCCGGCGGGAUGACUUCUCCCACAAUCGCCGAGGCUCUCUCCCCCUUCUGCCACUUUUUAACUCCUUUCCUUUUUUCUUUUUUUCUUUUUUUUUAAUUUAACUACCAACCACCACAAGCCCCCUUUCUUGGCUUUUAACCAUCCACAGCUACGACCCAACUCCCAAAAGCCCAUUUGAAUUAAUUUUCUUUUUCUUUUAUUUCCAUUUGCUUUAUUUCAUUUCCAAUUCAUUUCAUUUUUCAUUUUUUUUUACAACACACAAAUUAAUUUAUUAAGCACCAACCCAAAAAUUUAAUUUUCUCAAUUUUAUUAAUAAGCAAUUUAAUUUAAUUUUUACUUAAUUAAUUCUAAUUAAUUUUAAUUAAUUCACUUUUUCAUUUUCGUUUUCGUUUUUCAUUUCUGGAAAUUUUUAAUUUCUAAAAUCCUAAGAAAUUUUCUACUAUAAGGCUGACGUGGCACAAAAUUUUCAACUCGCUUAGUUAACCAACAAAAUAAUUCGAAUUUCGCCAAUCAAAAAUUAACACAUGUUCCCCAAACACUUUUCUUUUUUACUUUUCAACCACCACUCAAAAGAAGACUUUUUAAACUAGAAUUUCCAAUGUGGCAAAAAAAAAACCCGGUCAUUACACUAUCUGUCACCUUGUUUCAUAUAUCUAGCUGGAUCAGGACAGAUCAUAAUGAAGCACAAAGAGUAGAGAGGUCUUCUAUCCUCUCAAAGAUAAGAGAUGAGAGAAGCAAAGACAAAGGGAUAAGAAAAGAAAAGAUGAGAGCAAAUGAAUGUUGUCUCCGUUUCUUGCUCAGACUUAGAGAGACACAAGGGUUUACGAAUCCCAUUCCUACCUGUCACCUCACUUCAUAUAUCUAGCUGGAUUAGAACGGAUCAAAAUGAAGCACCCUAAAUCUGGAAAACCUACUUGAUUUAUUUUUGUCAAAGGCUUAAAGCCAACUUUUUCAUUCUAAAUAGAGCUUGUUUCCAAUGAAGGAUUGAUCUUAUUUUGCAAAGAGAGCAGGUAGGUUAAGAUCUUAGUCCCAAAAUUUACAUGUCCAUAAUGCCAAAUGUAAAGAAGGCAACAACUUAUUAAUGGAAUAUGCUACCAAUCAUGGCAGGAGAAAAGAGGAUCAAUAGUGCCUCUAAAGAGGGAUGUAUAAAAUAAUGCAUAUCAUCCAACUUUUACAACAAAACAAAUCACCUAUUAAGACUGCCCUUUUUCUAGCAUUCAUUAAUAACCAUUUGGUACUUAAAGCUAUGCUCUUGAUCUUUAGCGCUCCCACCAUUGCAGCUACAUUGGCAUUACCAAUUCUAGUUAAGGCCAUAGUCUUUCAUCUAUCUUCUAGUAGUCGUGCUUUGCGAAUAAGAUUUUUGGGCAUGGUGUAUAUAUAUAUAUAAAUGGAAACAGUUGAAGUAAUAUGAGUGUGACAAGAGCGAUAGCAACAAGGAAAAAAAAUUGAGCAACAGUUGGUAUUUAUAAAAGCAUUGUUAUAAUGAAAUGAAAAAUAAAGGUAAUGACGCAAAAUCACAACCCAUCUGGAACAGAAUGGGGCAAGGCAAAACAAUACCAUACCUUGGCCCAAACCUAACCCCUAACCUACUUAGAGGCUAUACCUAAAUCCGUUCUAUUAGAAGGAGGUCAAACCUAACACCACAAAAAAUAAAAUAAAUAAAUAAAACAGCCUUACUAUCAUCCUUAAUUCUUAAUUAGGUGGGCAAGUGACAAAAUAAAAGGUAGGGAAGAGGUUAGACUAAGUACUUCUUGUUGGAUACAUACGAAAUUAAAUUGAUCUUGAGAAUCUUAAAUAUGAUCCAUGCUUAGCAAAAUUGAUUACAACAUAAAUGGUUAGUUUGAUGACAGGGGAUAAAUUUACCAUAUGUGAAAGAUAGAGGUUGACAAUUCAACCCUUAUCAACUGCUCAUUUUACCUCAAUCGGCUCCUAUCUUAAGUUUUAGAACAAUCUAAGCAACAAACCCAGCUUCCAUAUGGCGGCAGUCUGAAAUUUAAUAUGACCGUAGCAUAAUUGUUCGAGGACUUAAGAACAACUCUUAUCGUUAGUUACAUGUUAAGCUAUGGUAUGCAAAAAUAGAAGAUCAAAUCAAGAAUUCAUUUUCAUAAGGGCACGGGGUGUCAAUGGUGGGGAAUGAAUCUAUAAUAAAUGUAGACGUGGGUGAUGUGAUCUAGGCUGUCUAGCUUAGUAAACCAAAGCCUACUCAACCAUCAGACAAAAGGGUACAUGUUUCCCAUACAAAACUUAAUUAAAUUGUGCAUGCUCACCAGCUAUAAGAGAGCCCGAUAAGCUAAUUUUAGGUAGCAAGUUCACUCUAAGAAAAGUAGGACUACUUCCACGAUUCCUUUCUGUUAAUCCAUCUCCGACAACCCUAAGUUUCUAAAGUAUUUGCAGGAUUAUCCCCAAGUUUCAGCUACCAUUAUCAUCUCCAUUCUAAAAGCCUUUCACCCAUCUAUUCAGUCCCAUACUCCAAUGCGAAACCUAACUAUUUUGCCAAUGAUCUGUUCCAAGUUGUCACAACAUUGCAUCUUCUUUGUCCUCAAAGUUUAUUAGGGCAUCAAAACUUCAGUUUUGUUGCCCUUUAACCUUUAAUUUUCUUUAACAGCAGCUUGAAUUUUUUGCAUUUCCAACUCUUCAAUGGGUAUUCGAUACCAACUGUCAUGGACAAACAUGACCAUUAUACUUAACUUAAAUGACAAAAAACUAUAGAAGAUCAAUUUUUUUACCUCAAAAACUUAGGUUAAAUUCUCAGAGGAUAUCUUCAUGGAACUAUCACAAACCUUGCCAUUAAUAAUAAUGCGAUAACCACAUAGUCCCAAAAUAAUCCUUUGUUAGUCACCUGGAUACUUAUUUCAUCAAACCCAACAAUAAUCUUUCCUAACAACCAUUUGCUAGUGCAUCAGGAAUUUGGAAUAAUCCAAAGAAGCACUAUCAUAUAUCACCAAACAAGUAAGGCCAAGAAAUUUCAAUUUGAUAUUAAAUUAGUUAAAUAAAGGGAGGGAAAUAAGAUAGUGUACGAUUAUUAUAAUGGUUGGCUCAUUUAUUGUUCCACGAUUUUGAAUGAUGUACAACAACCUCACUUUCUUUGAUCAUCAAGGUAUACAAGAUGCUCAUACUUGCCUUGUAUCUAUGAAUCAAGGGCUUGGAAUAGAGCUUGGUAGGUGGAUCAAUUGAAUAUGGAAGAACCUCUAGGUCUUGAUAUUGGUGUUCAUGAAUUUUAGAAAGAAUAAACAUGUGUCAAUCUCAUUGCAUGUUAUUAAAGAUGCAAAUUAUUCCUAACCCUAUAUCUGAAAAUCUAGCUCUAAAAAUUACAAUAGGAUGCUAAGUUCGUAAAAGUUUUAGGCAUAUAUCAAGGAAUUACAAGAAGAAAAUUUAUUGUUGUUACUUACAAGUGAGACAUGCAUGUCAUCUCUAGAUAUAUCCUAUAGCCUUUGAGCAAAAUGCCAAGAUUAGUCCAAACAAGCAACAAUUUGUUUCUUUUAGCCUUCAUACCUUCAUGACCUCUUGUUUUUUACCCACACAUGUUAGAGCUUCCAACCAAACAAUAUGUAAGGGUGUUAAAAGGUGCGGCUUGAUUGGGUUUUGAAGGAAAAAUUAGUUGAACUGACAUAGUUUAUAUGUAAAAUUUCUAGUCUAAAAUAUAAUGAAUGCAUUUAGAAACUAAUUUGACCAUAAUCUAAUAACAAUAAAUUCUUUUAAUAGUGUACAAAGCAUAUAUAAUGAUAAAUAUUAAAAAACUCAUCUAACAUUGAACGAUUAUAAAUCACAAGAGAUAGAAGUCUUGAAAUGUCAAUUUUUGGUUCCAUUUUUAUUAGUUAGGAAACAAAGAAACUAAAAACCAAACCAAUAAACUCGAUCUUCAAAAUUCUCAAACCAAACUAACCUUUAUAAUUGUUGAAAAUAGAACUAAUUUAAAAACCAACCAAUAAUGUCAAUUUUCAAAAUCCUCAAACCGGACUGACCUUUAUAGUUGUUGAAAAACGGAAUUGAUUUAAUCUGUUUUAAUUGGGUUAGAUUGAUUUUUUAUUGGUUUUCACUUACACCCCUAACUAUAUGACUCCUAUGAAACAUAAUCUUAGCCCAAUUCAACCUUGUGCAUUGUUUUUCUUUUUCUUUUUUCUUUUUUUUUGUUAAUAAGUAGACCGAAAAUGUAUUAAAACCUAUAAAAAAAAAAAUGAUGCACCAGAGUAUAUGGGACAGAUACAAGAGUGCCAAAAGUCCUAAUUCAACCAAGUGCAUGUAUGAUCAAAUUUUUAUUACUUAAGAAAAUAAUCUUUUUUUCUAUUAAUAAGUUAGUUGACGAUAAGUGUUGUUCAUUUUGACUCGUUUAGUGUGUUCCACAGCUUGCUAGAGCAUUGAUGGUUGGCAAUAAAUGUGUAUGCUCUAUCAAGUUGGAAUCUGAUGGAAGUUUUAAAAAAAAUGCAACACUAAUCUCAUAGUUUAGGCCUUUAAAUAGAAAUAUGGCAUUAAUUAAGAAGAGAAAUUCAUGCUUGUUGCUGAAAUGAUUAUAUUUCACACUGUACUACCAAUUGUUGCCACAGUAAAUUGAUUUAUUUGUCAAAAUGGAUAUAGAAGAAAUGAAGAAAGAAAAAGAUUCCUUCACAUGGGGACCUUCAAAAACAAUUUUUAAGCAACCACCCCUAGAUAUGCUCUAGGCAAUCUACAAACUUUUAAUUGAAAAUUCCUCUAUGGAUUGAACAUGUCCAGAUGCAUGGUAUAGAAUUCCCAAUACUUUCCUUCAUAUACAAUUAUACCAAAUUUCACGUGGUCAUUCAAUGUUGACUCAAAAAAUAGGGAAAUUUGACGCUAGCUUAAUUCUCUAUCAUAAUAUGAUUAUUAAAGAAAAGUUCAUUUCAAUAUUUCCACUUUAAAAAGUCUCUAAUGAGCAAUUUCAAAAUGAAAGAUUUGAGGUCCAUGAAAGAGAGUAUUGUGAGGAUUUAUCCCCUUUGGUCUCUCCAACCAAUUCUAAGCACACACUAAUAUGCUAAUAAAGUUACAAUUCAAAUUGUGUAAAACAAAAACAAGUCAUCUACUAACUCAAUUAUAUCAAUAACUUGUUGGAAGUUCGGUCUUUAUUCACUAGGAUAGGUCCAACAAUACCAAGCUCUUACAGGUAUGUUGGAUUCUUCAUUAUCUUCACGAUAUUCUUGACUCAUGAUUGUGGCAUCUUGUGCUCCUCUACUUCCACUUCCAUAUGAACAAUUAUAGAUGAGGAUUGAAUGCUCGGAAACAUGGAGAUUUAUAAUUGGUCGGUGUAUGGUUUUAGUCACAUCACUUGAAUCUUGAAACUGAAAUAAGCAGGGCUUCAAUCUUCAAAUCUUCUACUAAAUCAAAGCAAAUAUCCAUGUCUUGUGCUAGUAGUUGGGUGACAUGACUUCUUCAACUCCUCUUCGAACUCUAUUUUUAACUUUACUCCUCUCUAAUCGAAGUGUCAUAGAAACCACUAAUAACCUUAUAUUUCAUAAGCAUAGUGGCACAUUCAAGUAAAUUAUCAUUUCAUUUUACCACAUCUCCUUUUAGGGGUUUUCCAUCCCUGAUUUUUUUUCUCAUAAUCAAUUGGAGACCUCCUCACUAUAGCAAUUUUGCAACCUUGCCACAAUUUUCUUACCACCAAAUUGACCUUUUUGUUCUCAAUAGCAUUAAUUUGAGGGUCACUGUAAAAGUGGACCACAUGAUCAAAGCCUUUAGGCUUUAGCCCAUCACAACGAAGCAUAGUUGUUAAAGCCACCCUUCAACAUGCCUAGGCCAAAUGGGUAGCGACUACCCACCUAUGGCAACUUGCAUACCAAGACACACACCUUGUCAUAGAGGUGCACCUCAUCUUUUCUCCUCUCAAGGAAAAGCAACCUGGUUUUAGCCCUAAAAAAAGUGAAAGCAAAAAAAAUAUCCUUUGGCCCUAAAAAGAACUCUUCGCUCGAGCAUAUUCCUUAGUUGCACUUUCACCUAGAUCUUGAUGAUGAUGGUGACAACAAACAUAUCAAUUUGAUGUAGGGGUUAGCAAACUUGGCCAGCCUUUUAACUUUUCUCCUUCCUGCAUGUUUUUUGUCCCAUUUUCUUGCAAAACUUGCACCACAUCAUCAAUACACCUUAAAGUGAUAGAUUAACUAAAUAGAACAUUUUAAGGCUUAAAAAUUGCACAACUCAUGGUCAAUAGGCAAGGUAAUUUAUGCAUCUUUUUAUGCCUAUUAGAUCUCAAGCGACCUUUGCACUUUGGCACCGCCUUUCACCUUCAGAACUAUCAAACAAAGUCCACUUAGCCAUUGGUCAAAUGGAAUAAUAGUUUUUCUUAUUAUAUUCUGCAUACUUUACCAACUAAGAGAUUCCAGUUAGCUAACAUAGAUAACAAAUUUUUUUAUAACUAUUUAAUUUUUUUAUUGAAACCAUCAUUGUAAUAAACUAUUUUGGCAAUAGUUAUGUUAUUUAACAUGGUCAAAUCCCAAAGAAAACCAGACCUUUCUCUAUAACUCCUUUCCUCCGAUUUUGUCUUCAUAUCUGAUUAUUAUAAAGAAGGUAAGAUACAUUGCAUUAGUACUCAUAUAUCAUGAAAAUAUUGAUAAAGAGACUAACUUGGGUUGCCUAUAUUGGUUAAAAUUUAAUGAUAACUACUUCAUAUUAAUUUCAUUCUUUGUUCAAAAAAAUCUAUUUAAAUUAUUGUAUCUGUCGAAUCUAAAGAAUUGGACGGUAAAAGAAUAAAUUUCUUCCUUGAUUUUUAAUCUAUACAAAAGACCCAUAUAUAUAUAUAUACAAAUAUUCCUAGCACCAAAAUAGGUACUUUCCUAACCUAAUUACAUCAAAUCCCCUUAAUUAUGGGAUUAUCAAAAUCUCUCCUUAAUUACAAUUAUACAAAUAUGGCCUUCCUAAUUCCUUUCUUCCACACAAACAACAAGAAACCUUUAAAGAUCGACAAUGAAGGCUAGCACUAAACUUUGAACUCGACAUUGAAGGCCAAAGAAAAUUCCUUCACAAUUCCUAGAUUUACGAGCCUGGGGCUCUAAUACCAAUUUGUUGUGCCGGUGGAAGUUUUGAUACAAACAAUGUUAAUUCAAGAACAUAAAGAUAAAACGAUCCACACAAAGGUACACGAGGUUUUAACAUGGUUCGGCCAACCAUGCCUACAUCAAUGGAUGAGAGAGAAUUAUUUCACUAUACCAUAAAGAAUAUUACAAAUGAUAAAACCAGACACACCUAUUAGGUUCCCAAAACAUCUCAUGUUUCCCCAUUCCUUGUAUUUACACCUUGAACCACGAGCCCCCUCGCUUCACCAGGUGUCCUAUUCUUCCUCACAUCUCCAUCCACCCCAUAUAGUCUUUACAAGUUCAUCUCCAUCUCAUAACCUUCUUCUCUCCUCACCCAGAAUAUUUAUAGAAAUAUUCCUAAUGAUUUUCCUUAUUCUAUAAGGAAAUCUAAUAUUACAAUAACCAAUGAAUAUUAGGAAAUAACACAAUAUCCUUUACACAAAAGAAAUCUAUACUAAUUGGGAAUUUGAGACACUUUCCAACAAUUUUCACCUUAAAUCAAAUUCCAUUAAAUUAAUCUCCAAUAUCUCCAAGAUACGCAUUUUUGUAUCACAUUUGACAAAAGAACAAUCGACUUCACCUUCAACACAAAAAUUCCUUUUAUCAUCAUCUUGUGUGCUCUAUUCUCCUUGGCUCUUCCAAAAAUCUUCAACCCAAGCUCUGACACCAUGUAGAAUCUAAAGAAUUGGAAGGUAAAAGAAUAAAUUUCUUCAUUGAUUUUUAAUUUGUACAGAGACCCAUACAUAUAUACAAAUAUUCCUAGCACCAAAAUAGAACUUUCCUAACCUCAUUACAUCAUAUCCUCUUAAUUACAGGAGUGUCUAAAUCCUUCCUCAAUUACAAUAUACAACUAUGGCUUUCCUAAUUUCAUUCUUCUAUGGUAUCAAUGAAAAAAUUGCUAAUAAAAUAAAUCUAUAAACUUAACAUUCCCUCUCCUCGGUAUUAAGGCAAUCCACAAGUGUUGACUUCUCUAGUGAAUAGCAUUGCAUAGUUAGCAAUAUCUCUUGUUUGCCAUAUCAAAACAUUCAAGUAGUGUUUGAUUGCUUUGCCUUUUAUUUUGUUUUUAAAAAUAGGAAAAACAUAUUUAUUUUUCAUUUCAUUUUCUUUGUAUUUUUAGACGAUGAAACAAGUUUAUUAUUCAUGAUCAUUUUCCACUUAAAAUCCUUAGACAUUAAAAACAUAUUUAGACAAGGUACAUGAAACCUUUUUUUUUUCUAAUUGUUUUGUAGAUGGGUAAUGGCAGUGGCAACAGGGUGGUGGAUGGAGGUGGUUGUGACAAAUAGGUGGCAGUCAUAAGGUGGUAGGAUGGCUGAGGCAAUAAGGUGCUUGUGCUUAGUGCUGUGUACAAUGGGGUGAUUGGAAGAGGUGGUGAGAGUAGUAAGUUGUGUAAUUACAUGGCACACAACAAUUAGAAAACAAAUUUUGGAAAUUUUGGAAAAAAAAAAAAAAAAAGGAAAUGACAAUGCAACUAAGAAAAAUCUUUGUUAUUUUGUUUUGUUGUUCUUUAACUCCCAGAUUUUAUUCUUAUAUGAGAGAACCUAGUGAACUCAACAGUCCCAUCUUUUUUUGCCUCUUUGCAUCUACUUCGUUUGCUUGAUCCAAUUUCUUUUUCUCUCAUCCACCCACUUGCUUUGCUUCUGCAAAUUCUUGACUUUUAUUAGAUGGCCAUAUUGAAUUAAGUCAACUCAAAUCUUAGGAUCUCCAUCUGAUUCCCAUUAAUACUCAAAAUGUCUUUUCCCCCAUAGAAGUACCAAUCUAUAAGAGCAAGCAACUCCUUCUCCAACCAUCACACUGUUGAAAGUUUACAAUUGUGUACCCAUAUUGCAAAUGUUGCCGGAUUGUAGACAAAUUCAAAUUUUUUCCUUUUAAAUUGGUUGUCCUCUUCCUUGACCUUUUAUGACCAUCAACAUUCACAAUGCCUUCACAUCCAAAGGACAUACUAAUUUACCAGAGUAUGACACCUUUUCUACCCAUCUUAUGAUGAAAAUUUAUGGCUGCAUAUCACUAUACCAGUAUUUAAAAUGCAGUCACGUCGGAAACACAUUCAAUCCAAUACCAUUUUUGGUUUGAUCAUGCAGCCGUUAAAAUAAGGGAGGAGGUAGAAGUAAUGACCAAAGUAACAAUGUUCAUUCCCACACAUUAGCCAAAUUGACGUCUUUAUUUUCUAAAAACCCAUUGAAGCAUCUCGCUGGGAAUGUUCGUGAGUUGGCCCACUACAGUUCAUUCCCAGUUAUGCCCAAAGCGAACACUACUUCCUAAUGCGAAGCAAUGCCCCUCCCAUCUUAUACAAGAUAUAGGGGUUUUUUUCCAAACAAAAAGCCACCAAGAAUAGCAAGUAAAAAAUGGAAGAACAAAGGACCAUAGGUCAAUCAACCACACAACACAAGAUGUACAUCGAAACCCCUUCUAAUUAAAGGAAAAACCAUCGAUCUUUAACACCAAGAAAAUAUAUAGCAACUGGAAAAUACCUCCAAAGGGAGAAAUCCACUUCUUGCAACUCAAAGUCUUCCGAACUCAUUUGGGGAAACACCAAAAAUCUUUCCAGAGUAGAAAAAGGAAGGAAAAGCUGAUUCUAAUCUUCUAUCUUCAUCAAAAAUAAAAACUUGUCUUCAUCUGCCACUCACACUCAUAUCGUACUCCUACUUCCAUUUUCUUCCCCCCUUACCUACCCAUCCUCUUCGCCUUCCAUUCAUCUUAUUCCUCUCUCCCACUUCAAUUUUAACUAACCAUCACAGCGGUCAUGUUGCUCCCUCUCUUUUUCUCUCUCGAAAUUAAACUAGAGAAAAAGAAUGGAAUGAACGGAAAUGGGGAAGAGGAAGAACAGGAAGCAAAGAGAUUAGGGUUAGAAUCUGGGGGAAGAUCGAAGAUGAAGAGGAAUUAGGUACAAGGAGAAUAGAAUGGUGUUGAAAUAUUAUUCCCUUCUUAACGGGACCGGAGAUUUGAAAUGGUUCAAAACCUCCUACUUAAACUAGAGAUCGGUUCAAAAACCCAAGCAGGUCGAAGCCCAAACACUGAUAAGAAGUGGUAUCGGGCCACCAUAUAGAUGGGCCUAAACCCAACAAUGAGAUAAGACCAUUGGAAUUUGAAACAAGAACUGAAGCCCACGGUGAAAAACUAAGGUAUGGAUUCCUACCAAACUUCUAAUUUCCAAGUAAGCCUAAGAAAAAAUUGAAAUAUUUGGCUAAUAGGGAUGAGAUAAUUCCUAAAUUGUGAAUCCUAACCUUUUUCAUAUUUUUACUUAGAAAAGUAACUCAUUUUUUUACAUAAAUGUUUU
RNAcentral lists this long non-coding RNA (11687 nucleotides) under Vitis vinifera (wine grape). RNAcentral describes it as "long non-coding RNA (VVIN_LNC005697)". The record is from RNAcentral. Lineage: Eukaryota; Viridiplantae; Streptophyta; Magnoliopsida; Vitales; Vitaceae.